UAGCGGGGUAGGGCAGCUCUGGAGUCUGACUCACCCUGAAGAUGGAACGAUAAGCCCUGGACUGAAAACCACGGAGCUCGGGACCAGAAACCAUAGGCUCUUUAGUGCUCAGAGACUGGCAGGAGAGAACAGGAUGCACAGCAGGGAGCUGGAGAGGUGACACGGAGAUUAAGAGUACACACUACUUCCAGAGAUCCUGAACUUCUUUCUCAGCACCCAGAUCAGGGCAAGAUUCUGUGUCCAGAGCCGACUUACAAAUGGAGAUGCUGUGCUGGGAGUUCACAGUGCGGUGUUCUGUGGCUACCACAGAGGCUGGUUGUCCACAUGAGCAAGUCAACACCCUUACCAACCUGCAGGCUGUCACUCCCUUCCCUCCGUUCUAGCACGAAACCGUGUUCAGAACAAGCCCCAACACCAGGCAAGUCAGAGGUUGUGGAGCAACAAAGUGUGCUGAGAAUCCUAGGAGACUACAAGCUAUUUUAACCCCGAGUCUGGUCAGCUGCUUCUCAGUGUCACAGUCUGAGACAGGAAGACAGCUGUCUCCUCUUUGGUGUGAUCUACAAGUGAUAAAAUCCUAAUUAAAGCCAUUUGAACCACAA
Non-coding RNA from Myodes glareolus (Bank vole), 599 nucleotides. NCBI's taxonomy places the organism in Eukaryota, Metazoa, Chordata, Mammalia, Rodentia, Cricetidae. The record is from RefSeq and is a predicted model, not a curated record.